CCUACGGGUGGCAGCAGUGGGGAAUAUUGGGCAAUGGGCGCAAGCCUGACCCAGCAACGCCGCGUGAAGGAAGAAGGCUUUCGGGUUGUAAACUUCUUUUAUCAGGGACGAAGCAAGUGACGGUACCUGACGAAUAAGCCACGGCUAACUACGUGCCAGCAGCCGCGGUAAUACGUAGGUGGCAAGCGUUAUCCGGAUUUACUGGGGGUAAAGGGCGUGUAGGCGGGAGGGCAAGUCAGAUGGGAAAACUAUGGGCUCAACCCAUAGCCUGCAUUUGAAACUGUACUUCUUGAGUGCUGGAGAGGCAAUCGGAAUUCCGGGUGUAGCGGUGAAAUGCGUAGAUAUACGGAGGAACACCAGUGGCGAAGGCGGAUUGCUGGACAGUAACUGACGCUGAGGCGCGAAAGCGUGGGGAGCAAACAGGAUUAGAUACCCGUGUAGUC
RNAcentral lists this ribosomal RNA (443 nucleotides) under uncultured bacterium. RNAcentral's name for it is "partial 16S ribosomal RNA". It matches the Rfam family "Bacterial small subunit ribosomal RNA", at positions 338 to 795 of the family's 1533-position model. The record is from RNAcentral.